CGUUAACAUGCGCAUAGCUAUGUAGCAACACAGCUAUGACUCAUCUUCCCAAUCCCCAAUAACAAUUACCGGAGCCGGGCUUCCACUAAAGACACCUGGCUUGUCAUCCCCUGCUACCCGUGGACCUGUGGCCUGCUCGGCCCGGAGUGAGCUCCCUCCCUCCCCCAUGCGCGGUGCUAAGCUAAUCGGCAGCUCCAGCCCCGGCUGGGUCGCGGUAUCGGUCGGGUGGCACCCACCCAGGCCCGCCGGUUGCAGCUGUCUGCGGCGAGGAAGUGUGCGGACCACGGCCGCUACUUACUGCUGACUUUCAUGCUGCCGAAGGCCGAGGGCUGCGGCAGCGGCUUGCAGCUCUCCGCGAAGGAUGUGGUCCUGGGCCGACCCGACAUGAUCCAAAGUGCUUCGUGGUCUCAAGUCUCGUUAAACGCUUUUCAUCCAAAAAAAAAAAAUAAGGGAUGAUGACAGCAAAUGUAUUGCACAGCCUCUUUACACCUAACAAACUAGCCUAUUUUAAGUCCAAAUCACUGCAUUAUUCGUGUAUAAUUCUCUCUCAAGGGGCCCUUUGAGACACCUAGUAAAAAAACUCAUGAAUUGGGCCUCCUCUUUUUGUUUUAAAAGCAGAAAAAUCAGUCAGAAUCCCGUCACAAAGAUGCUAAUGUUAGCAUGUAGGCUAAAUGCGGCGUUUUGAGGCCCAUCCAGUCGCUCUUCAUAUCCCGAUUUGGAGCCUCAAUGAUCCGACUGCCAUGGCGGCUCACUCGCCGUAGCGGAGCUGGAGAGAAAAAAAAAACGUCCACUUUCCGCAGUCGUCUUCAGCGUUCAGUCAAUACACCUCCCCGGGCCGAAUCCUCGCCCAGGCUAACGUUAAAUUCCAGCUGGAACGUCCAAGUAAAACAGCUUCAUACUAUGGAGAAAGACGGCACGGGAUUUCUUUUUUUAUUCCUUCCCAAUAGGUCUUGCCGUCUUUGUCAGUACGCCAUUGGCGUAAACGCGAACAGGACCAUGUGAAUCUCACGCCGUUAACGUAACCCCAAAUGGAGAAUAAGAGAAGGCCGUGAGCUCGCAAUGGCGAAUCUGGGGUGGCCCGAGUAGACCAAUCGGAGACGGCGAUAGUUCCAGGAGUGGGCGUUAACUGUGCGUCAUAUGGACCAAUCAGAACGGCGUUCCGGAACACCACAUGGCAUCGCUCUUGGUACCGCCCCACAUGACUUCAAAGGAUUCUAGACAGGAAUAAAAAAGGCGGGUCUGCUAGCAAAGGUGGAUGGCUUUUGCGGCCAAUUGCGUUUCGACAUAUGAGUGUCGUUUCAAACAGUCGUCAGCUGACACCAUUCAGCACUGUUGCCAGGACAGGAGAGUGGGCUGCAGGAGGAGUUCUGGAGCUUGAUGAAGCGACAAGCUCAGAAGACCCUGGACGGUCAGCAUCAAUAAAACAAGGAAAUAGAUGUCGUCCUGGCUGUACACUGAAGGCUGGCUCUUACUGGGGCUGCUGAAAUACUUGGCCAUUUGACCCGGGUUGUUCUGAUCCUCUUCAAAGUUCCGCCACUCAGCCAGCUGCGUGGAGGUUAGUGGGAAGGCUGGAGCCUAUCCCAGCUGCACUCUGGCAGAAGGUAGGGUACACCGUGGACAAGUAGCCACCUCAUCGCAGGGCCAACACAGAUAUACAGACAAGCAUUAGCAGUAAAUAUAUGUAACUUUUUUUGUAAUUUAUCCAAUAUAUUCCAUUAAAAAUACCACUUUACUGACUAAAUAUUUAAACUUUUUUGUUAGAACAUUUUUAAAAUGUAUCUAAAAAAAAUAUUUUUAAUAAAUUACCAGUUUGGUAAUUAAUUUAUACAAUUAUUUUAUUAUUGUAUCUUUUUUGUUGGUAGAUAGGAUUAAAUAAAUAUUAAAAUGCUAAUAAUCAAAAGUGAACUGUAAUAAUUUCAUGUAGCAAUUUACAUGGUUUCACAAUUACAGGCACCAGCGAUGUAACCCAAGGUAAAAAAUAAAAUAAAAUUUUGACUCAUUUUGUAAUUCUGGAAAAAUAAACCAAGUUGCACAUUUUCACAGUCGUUAAGUUGUAGUCAAUGAUGUUCCAUUCCAGGCCUGUAAGUGGCGGUGUUGCACUUCCCCCUUAAUGGUAGGCUACAGUACCAGUUUUCAACGUAAAAUUACUGAAAAUUAGUAGUUACAAAACACUUCUUACUUUUGGUUAAAAUUGUAUUUUUAAAAACGAUAUACCAGUAAAAUAUGUUUUUAAAUAUAUAUUUGCAUGUACAGAAGAAGGCAGAAUCUUUUAAUACAGCUCUUGCAUAGAAUCUCAUUGACUUGUUUAGGUGUGCCUAAUUAUGGACUCGCAAGUGUUUCCUACCUGAGGAACAAACAACAUGCAGUUGGUGGCCAGCGUACAGAUGAAAAUGGCUCCACCCACAAUGCUGUAAACCAAAUUGGGCCAAGCCUGCAUGAAGACUGACACGGGGAUGGCCACAGUGGAGCAGAGGGCCACCAAAGUGACAGCGGUUAGGAUGGUGGGAGACUGGUUGACCGGAGGGUGGCUGACAUUGCUGGUCAGGCCGGCUAGAUAUGUUCCAUAGAGGAGGAGACAACCCUGAGCAAACAUGUAGGGAGAAAGAAGAGGUCAAAAACUUUUUAUUUUUUAAUAUAGAGCACAUAAGGAGUAGUUGGGCCGUACUGAAAAGAAAAAAAAAUAAACAAAAUUAGAGCAACCUAUUUUUUAAUGGGUAGAACACAUUUCCUCUUCUUUCUAUGACUUUUUGAUUAAAAAUCACAACUUUUUUUUCAAAUUUUGUUAUCUUCAAAUUAUUACAACAAUUCUGUAGUUAUAUGACUUUACAGUACCUUUUUUAAACUGACUUUGUAGUUACUGUACAUAGUGACACUAUGUUCAUACAAUUAUAAUUUUUUGUUGUAGUCUGCCUUUAUGCUGUAAAUGUUGGACCAUAUUUUUUGUGAAAUUACAAACCAUGAAAUAUUUGGACUUUUGUCAAAAUUCUUACAUUUGUUUAAAACAUUAACAUUUCUGUUCAAAUUCAUCACUUUAAUCUUUCCAAAACAAAUACUUUUGCGAAUAUAUUCUGUAUAGCAAUACUGUAUUUUUGAUAUUAUAUGGCAAUACUAUAAUGUAUAAAGAAAUAUGAUUAUUGUUUAAGAAAUUACCAGCUUUUUUGAUAUUUUCUUUAACUUGGAGGAUCAACUUACCUUUUUAACAGCUAUAAUGAUGACCCAUAGAUGCGAGUACACCGAUGAACAGGAAUGAAGCUGAGACAAAGAGUAGGAUAUGUCUUUCUCCAACAUCUACAACCGGGAAAACAUGCACAAAAUGAGGUGAACGCAAUUAGUAUUUGUCAUAAGGCGUGUAUCUCAUGCUUAAUCAUAUUAAUAAACUCAUGAAGUAUUUUUUAAAAGUAAGUUUUAGGGAUGAACAAUUUUGAGAACAAACCUAAUUGCGAUUUUUCUCCUCAAAAUUGCAAUUGGAUUUGCCAUUUUUAAAUUUCAUACAUAUCCAGUAAAGGCUUAGAACUGUGAAAAUAAAGAGUGAAAGAAGACAUGUUACUUUGACACUGCCAAUUUGAAUUUUCCUGAGGGAACUCUCCUGAAGGAAUCAAUAAAGUACUAUUUAUUUAUCAACAUAUCCAUGUCUCAAGGUGCCACACAUUUGAACAUCCCUCCAUUUGGAGCCUAUCCCAGCUGCACUAGGACAGAAAACAGGCUCCACCCUGGACAAGUCACAUAUUGGAACAUCAAUCCAUUUAUCCAUCCAUCCAUUUUCUACCGCUUGUCCCUCUCUGCGGUCAUAGGCGGGGGGCUGGAGCCUAUCUCAGCUGCACUUGGGCGGAAGGCAGGUUACACCCUGGACAAUUCGCACAUAAGAACGAUAGGCAUUAAUUUACUUAAAAAAAUAUUUUACUUUAUGCAGACAGACUCAGAGCUUUUUUCUACAUCAUGCUCUCAAACUGAAGAAAUAUUCAAUAAAAACUAUACAGUGACCAUGAUGCAAUAUAAUCAAAUUCAUAAUAAUAAUGCUAGUAAACAUUUAAAAAGGAUAUGAUCUUGUUUCUCAUUAUUGUAGAAUUGUAUAUCAUUGUUACAACUGUAAGUAGAAAGUAAAAUAUUGUGUAGUCCUCAAUAAACAAACAAAAACUUAAAUUGAAUAAUUUAAAUAAGCAGAAAUAUAACUUAAAUAAAUAUUGAACAUCUUAAAGUGCAUUUAUUUUCCCUCAUUUGGAAAAACUAGGUUGGACGUUGUCUUUUUUUUUUUUUGUUGCCAUGACAUGAUCACUGCAUUCUCGCUCGCCCGUCCGUGUUGAUGGGCUCAUAUUGCCCCUCCGAUUUGAAGCUUAAAUAUUCACUGGCGAGUCGUGAGAAUGGAGGCUGUUUGUCUGUGCUUCCCUUUUGUAAAGCUGGUGGUCUUCUACUCCGGCUAUAUAGACAAAGAUUGUGGAUGACUGAAAAGAGGGCUCACUGCGUUCAGUUAAUUCAGUUAAUAAACACUCGUGUGCUGAGAGCCAUGCAGUGUGACUUUUUUCUCCCUUGUUUGAAGCAAGAAACAUAUAAACGCAAGGCUCAACGGUUCCGAUUGGCGAACAUGUCUGUCACUCAAAUGUCGAUGACGGAGAAAAAAAAAGUCAGCCUCUUGUGAUUACGUUAUCUCACUAAUUAAAACCUAAAUGUUGAUUAAUCAUGCAGCCUGACUUCACAAUCAUUGAAAGUUAUUAGACGUACCUUCACCACCGCAGUGACUGAUUGAGAACAACGAAUGGGAUCCGUGAGGUUCCAGGCAGUAAGAACCAGCAGGUCCAUCAGGAGCAGGAGGGCAACCAUAGCCAUCAGCUGGAUGUCUCGAAUGAUCUGAGACAGGAAGACCAUGAGAUGAAAAAUGUGUCAUCUCAAUACAUAAAAAAGCUUGUGUUUUUAAAAUCUUUAAUACAGAGGAGUAGAUUCUUAACAUGUAUAGUCAUUUUUGGAGCAACUUGGUCAAUGUGUCUGCCUGACUAUUUUGCUGGCAGAUCCUCCUUUCCUUUCUAAAGUGUGUGAUGCAAAAGGAAGCCUUUUGCCCACGAGUUGCCUACGUAACGGCACAAUUUCUUUUCAUGUUAGAGUUAGGUUUCACAAGUAAUUUUUCUUAGCAACAAGUGGCCAAACAAUCCCGUAAAAUGAGUUGGAUAAAGAAUUUCUUGAUAUGUUUUUGUGACCGCUAGUUAGCUCUUGUAGAUCACCGAAAUGCAUCCCUCCAGGCAUCCUCCAAUUACAUGUGUAUGUAAACCAGAGAUGGCGGCUGGUCUUUCAAGUAGGGGAAGCUCAUUUUAAUCUACUCCCUUAACACGUUUGCAGUUUCCAAUAACAGAUAAAAGAUACAAAGAUGUUAGAUUUUACAAAGAAAACGUCACUUGGAGGAUUGUAAAAUUCUCCAUAUCAACUCGAAACAACAGAAUAAAACUUGUAAAAUGCUCUGGCAGUUGUUUGUAUUUUAAAAUUGCUGAUUGGCUUAUUUGGCUGUCAAUAAAAAAGGGAUUCAGCCUCAGAGAGAUCAUGCCGAAGUUCAGCGGCCAGGCCAGCCGAGGCCAAACCCACUUUCCAUUCCAAAGGCUGUUGAGUUUGGCUGCAGUGGAACAACCGACUUUAUGCUCUGCCACUGAAGUCAAUGGACGCUCAGCUUCAACACAGUUUGUUUUUUUAACAUGUCCUGUCCAGCCACUCAAGCAAAUCGUAUUGUUGAUGUAGAUGCCCAUAUCUGUUGUACGUAUUUGCUUUACAAAAGAUUGAUGGAAUGAUUGACAAAAGAGUAGUGCGAGAUACUCCUUUGGUUGCUUUAUUUGUAUUUGACUUUAUUAAAUGGAUGUAUUUAGUGUUUGACGCAGCCGGACCGGAACAGGAGCGUUUAGGAAGAGGAAAGAUAAAAGAAGACAGAGGUUUAAAUUGAGGGGACAAGAAUACUGUUUGAUGCACUGUGGCAGUACCACAAUUGAUGGGAAGAAAUUUUCAUUAGCUGUUACGAAAGUAACUGACUCUGGACAAAAGUUAUACGCAUUAUGGCACAUAUUUAGUCUAUGAAAUAUAACCACUAAAGCAGUAGUUCUUAACCUUGUUGGAGGUACCGAACCCCACCAGUUUCAUAUGCGCUUUCUUUGUGAAAAAUAAAAUGUUUUUUUUCAAAUUCAGGACAAAGUUAUAUGUUUCUUACUGGUGCACAAAAUGAACCGUGCAUGAUCAUGACUUUGUACAAAGAACAAAACCAACACAGUGCAUGAACUCACAACAAAUUACACACCUGCAAAUCAGUGUGACUUCUGCUGUUGCCUUUAAGAGACCAGUUCAGAUAUGCGUGGCCUCACUUUGGCGAGUGCCACUCAUGUAAUUUUCGCAGCAAAGUCUGUUCUUUUUCUUCGUUUUCCACCCAGACGUACAAUACUAGUACACAGCUCAUGAAAAACAAUAUUUUUUGUUAUUGUCAUCGUACGUGGGAGGCCAAAAUACUGAUAUUAGAAAAUUAUCUCAUCAAAUGAUCACUGUCUUUUGAUUAUAAUAAUAAAACAUUUAACAUGUUAUUUAGUCAGGUUUGGGAAAGGUGUGCUGCUGGUUAGGCCACAGUGCAUGUGCACGUCUGACGUCGCUCAAGGAGUUUUUGCGUUUGCUCACGCAUAUGGAAAAUUAGAGGGAACAUUGUUUGGCGGUAUCCAUAAUACGCCGAUAGGGAGAAGUUUUUAUUUACACGAUGAAUCGGGUGAGUCUUGACUUCCGCGGCGGAGGCUCCGCCGAACCCCUGAGGCCGACUCACCGAACCCCUAGGGUUUGAUCGAACCAAGGUUAAGAACCAUGCACUAAAGUACAAAUUUGACCUCUUAUUUUUUUGAGAUAUUUUAGGAGAAGCUCUGCUUUCCUUGCAGUCUUAGAGCGGUAUGAUUUAUACAUUCCAUAAAAAGUUGCCCAACUAAACCAUCAGGUUCUAAUAAGAAGAAUUGAAUGACAUUGGCUUUAUAAAACAAACAAAUCUAAAUUAAGAAAGUAAUACCAAUUUGGUGCACUUUGACAUCUCAAGUACAAUUGUUAUCCAGUAGAACUACACUUUUUAGCCUUACCACUCUCUUGUCAGGCACUCUCUGAGUGAACACCCUGUACAGUCUCCACGUUUUCCCCAAAAUAGGUCCAAACACCAUUGUGCUGCCGAGACAGAGAGUCCAAACCUGAGCCUGGAAAAAAAAAAAAAGAAAUAACAUAACAAUCAAACAAUUUUACAAUAAAAUGCAGAUUUAAAGGCCUACAGAAACCCACUACUACCGACCACGCAGUCUGAUAGUUUAUAUAUCAAUGAUGAAAUAUUAACAUUGCAACACAUGCCAAAACGGCCGGUUUAGUUUACUAAAUUGCAAUUUUCAAUUUCCCGCGAAGUGUCGUGUUGAAAACGUCGCGAUAUGAUGACGUAUGAUGACGCGUGCGUUUGACGUCCCCGGUUGUAGCGGACAUUUUUUUCCAGCCCGAUCCAAGCUAUAAGUAGUCUGCUUUAAUCGCAUAAUUGCACAGUAUACUGGACAUCUGUGUUGCUGAAUUUUUUGCAAUUUGUUCAAUUAAUAAUGGAGAAGUCAAAGUAGAAAGAUGGAGGUGGGAAGUGGUGAAUUGCAGCUGCCUUUAGCAACACAAACACAGCCGGUGUUUCCUUAUUUAAAAUUCCCGAAAGUGAAGCUUUACUAUGGAACAGAGCAGUCAAGCGAACAUGGUUCCCGACCACAUUUCAACCGGCAUGUUUCGGUGAGAAAAUUGUGGUAAUAAGUCGGCUCUUACCGUUGUUAUGAGCGGAGCUUGAGUCCUCCUGCAGCUGUGUGGCUUCCCUCAGAGACACUGGCGGUCACCACAUCCGUGGCCACACCCCUCAGACUUUCAGGUACCAUAUAAUCUCGCUAAAACACUAGUAACACAAUAAACAGAUAAGGGAUUUUCCAGAAUUAUCCUAGUAAAUGUGUCUAAUAACAUCUGAAUCGCUCCCACUGCCCUCGCCUUUUCUUUUUUCUUUUCUUUUUCUCUCUCUCUAGUCCUUCGCUCUCACUAUCCUCAUCCAUGAAUCUUUCAUCCUCGCUCAAAUUAAUGAGGAAAUUGUCGCUUUCUCGGUCCGAAUCGCUCUGGCUGCUGGUGGCCAUGAUUGUAAACAAUGUGAGGAUGUGAGGAGUUCUACAACCCGUGAGGUCACGCGCACAUCGUCUGCUACUUCCGGUACAGGCAAGGCUUUUUUAUUGGCGACCAAAAGUUGCAAACUUUAUCGUAGAUGUUCUCUAAAUGAUAAAUAAAUAAAUGGGUUGUUCUUGUAUAGCGCUUUUCUACCUUCAAGGUACUCAAAACGCUUUGACACUACUUCCAGAUUUACCCAUUCACACACUACUAAAUCCUUUCAGCAAAAAUGUGUCAAUAUCGCAAAAUGAUUAAGUAUGACACAUAGAAUGGACCUGCUAUCCCCGUUUAAAUAAGAAAUUCUCAUUUCAGUAGGCAUAUAAGCACAAGUUACAUGAAGCACUGCCGUCGACUCUUCCAUUUGCGGGUGUGAUCGCCCGUCCGUAGCGAACAGGAAGCCACUGCUGUAGGUUACGAUGCUUCCAAAGAGACUCAGGACAUUGAGGUUGGGACUGGACAUCUUGACAAUCCUAAAGGUGGACAAUCACGCAGGGUGAAGAGCAGGAAGCAAAAGGCCAGCACGAUGCCGCAGGAGAGCAGCGUCCACACCACGGCACUCAGCACAGGUGAGAGGGAGCGCCUUGGAGGAUCCGCGGUCAUCUGAGAAGACGGGUAACAGGAACACCCCACAUAUUAGCUGCAACAUUUGGACACUGACAUGAAUAAUUCUCUGUAUUGGCAUGCAUGUAAUACAAAAUGGGUGUUUUUACCUUGCUGAGAGUGCACAGUCUGUACAUCACCUCCAUGCUCUCCUGCCUGUUGACUUCUGAGUGGAUGAGACAGAGUGGGGAUUCACAUUGGAAGCUGCAGUUCCACUCAGCUUCCAUGUUUGGCCUCCGUCAGUGCACUUUCACGCACACAUCCUAUGAAAUUAAUGGCAGGGAAUGGAAAAUAAAACGUUAGCAACA
Molecule: long non-coding RNA, 9059 nt
Organism: Nerophis ophidion (straightnose pipefish)
Lineage: Eukaryota; Metazoa; Chordata; Actinopteri; Syngnathiformes; Syngnathidae
Exons: 5
Source: RefSeq, a predicted model, not a curated record